Molecule: long non-coding RNA, 349 nt
Organism: Pollicipes pollicipes
Lineage: Eukaryota; Metazoa; Arthropoda; Thecostraca; Pollicipedomorpha; Pollicipedidae
Exons: 4
Source: RefSeq, a predicted model, not a curated record
CAAGGUUUUGCUACUGUUUGUCAACUGGUCGACAUACCGUCUAAAUAUGACGUCGUAUUGAUGGGCUUUCACUGCUGGAGCAGCCGCGGGGGCGUUGGGCGGUGUCAGGCCAUCAGCAUUUGCCUGGUACCAUGGGUGAUGAAGAUGACGAUGUGAUUUUCACGAAUACGGCUCUUUACGAUCACCUGGUAUCCAGCGGAUACAAUGAUUUCGAGUCAGCAUCGUGUUUGGGGGAUGUCAUUGAUCAGUCAGCUGAGCUCACGGCGCAGUCUCAUCAAAAGGUGGCGCGGCUGCGGGUCGGCGCGGUGCGGGCGCUCGACUGGCUCGGGCUGCGGGCAGGGCCGCUGCU